RNAcentral lists this ribosomal RNA (1372 nucleotides) under uncultured bacterium. RNAcentral's name for it is "bacterial SSU rRNA". It matches the Rfam family "Bacterial small subunit ribosomal RNA", at positions 28 to 1381 of the family's 1533-position model. The record is from RNAcentral.
GAUGAACGCUGGCGGCGUGCCUAAUACAUGCAAGUCGAGCGAACGGACGAGAAGCUUGCUUCUCUGAUGUUAGCGGCGGACGGGUGAGUAACACGUGGAUAACCUACCUAUAAGACUGGGAUAACUUCGGGAAACCGGAGCUAAUACCGGAUAAUAUUUUGAACCGCAUGGUUCAAAAGUGAAAGACGGUCUUGCUGUCACUUAUAGAUGGAUCCGCGCUGCAUUAGCUAGUUGGUAAGGUAACGGCUUACCAAGGCAACGAUGCAUAGCCGACCUGAGAGGGUGAUCGGCCACACUGGAACUGAGACACGGUCCAGACUCCUACGGGAGGCAGCAGUAGGGAAUCUUCCGCAAUGGGCGAAAGCCUGACGGAGCAACGCCGCGUGAGUGAUGAAGGUCUUCGGAUCGUAAAACUCUGUUAUUAGGGAAGAACAUAUGUGUAAGUAACUGUGCGCAUCUUGACGGUACCUAAUCAGAAAGCCACGGCUAACUACGUGCCAGCAGCCGCGGUAAUACGUAGGUGGCAAGCGUUAUCCGGAAUUAUUGGGCGUAAAGCGCGCGUAGGCGGUUUUUUAAGUCUGAUGUGAAAGCCCACGGCUCAACCGUGGAGGGUCAUUGGAAACUGGAAAACUUGAGUGCAGAAGAGGAAAGUGGAAUUCCAUGUGUAGCGGUGAAAUGCGCAGAGAUAUGGAGGAACACCAGUGGCGAAGGCGACUUUCUGGUCUGUAACUGACGCUGAUGUGCGAAAGCGUGGGGAUCAAACAGGAUUAGAUACCCUGGUAGUCCACGCCGUAAACGAUGAGUGCUAAGUGUUAGGGGGUUUCCGCCCCUUAGUGCUGCAGCUAACGCAUUGAGCACUCCGCCUGGGGAGUACGACCGCAAGGUUGAAACUCAAAGGAAUUGACGGGGACCCGCACAAGCGGUGGAGCAUGUGGUUUAAUUCGAAGCAACGCGAAGAACCUUACCAAAUCUUGACAUCCUUUGACAACUCUAGAGAUAGAGCUUUCCCCUUCGGGGGACAAAGUGACAGGUGGUGCAUGGUUGUCGUCAGCUCGUGUCGUGAGAUGUUGGGUUAAGUCCCGCAACGAGCGCAACCCUUAAGCUUAGUUGCCAUCAUUAAGUUGGGCACUCUAAGUUGACUGCCGGUGACAAACCGGAGGAAGGUGGGGAUGACGUCAAAUCAUCAUGCCCCUUAUGAUUUGGGCUACACACGUGCUACAAUGGACAAUACAAAGGGCAGCGAAACCGCGAGGUCAAGCAAAUCCCAUAAAGUUGUUCUCAGUUCGGAUUGUAGUCUGCAACUCGACUACAUGAAGCUGGAAUCGCUAGCAAUCGUAGAUCAGCAUGCUACGGUGAAUACGUUCCCGGGUCU